GCCUUCCUGGUGUAGUGGUCAGCACGCUCGACGCGUAUUCGAGAGGUCCGUGGUUCGAUUCCCGGUGAAGGCG
This 73-nucleotide transfer RNA is filed under the name Stegodyphus mimosarum. It matches the Rfam family "tRNA". Rfam says of the family: Transfer RNA (tRNA) molecules are approximately 80 nucleotides in length. Their secondary structure includes four short double-helical elements and three loops (D, anti-codon, and T loops). The record is from Rfam by way of RNAcentral. Lineage: Eukaryota; Metazoa; Arthropoda; Arachnida; Araneae; Eresidae.